AUUGAACGCUGGCGGAAUGCUUUACACAUGCAAGUCGAACGGCAGCACGGACUUCGGUCUGGUGGCGAGUGGCGAACGGGUGAGUAACAUAUCGGAACGUAUCCAAUAAUGGGGGAUAACUAAUCGAAAGGUUGGCUAAUACCGCAUGCGCCCUACGGGGGAAAGCAGGGGAUCUUCGGACCUUGCGUUAAUGGAGCGGCUGAUAUCUGAUUAGCUAGUUGGUGAGGUAAAGGCUCACCAAGGCUACGAUCAGUAGCUGGUCUGAGAGGACGACCAGCGACACUGGAACUGAGACACGGUCCAGACUCCUACGGGAGGCAGCAGUGGGGAAUUUUGGACAAUGGGCGCAAGCCUGAUCCAGCCAUUCCGCGUGAGUGAAGAAGGCCUUCGGGUUGUAAAGCUCUUUCGCAAGGGAAGAAAACUUACUUUCUAAUAAAGAGUGAGGUUGACGGUACCUUGAUAAGAAGCACCGGCUAACUACGUGCCAGCCGCCGCGGUAA
This 500-nucleotide ribosomal RNA is filed under the name uncultured bacterium. RNAcentral describes it as "partial 16S ribosomal RNA". It matches the Rfam family "Bacterial small subunit ribosomal RNA", at positions 30 to 523 of the family's 1533-position model. The record is from RNAcentral.